Molecule: unclassified non-coding RNA, 248 nt
Filed under: Glomus sp.
Lineage: Eukaryota; Fungi; Glomeromycota; Glomeromycetes; Glomerales; Glomeraceae
Description: partial contains 5.8S ribosomal RNA and internal transcribed spacer 2
Rfam family: 5.8S ribosomal RNA (bases 1-71)
Source: RNAcentral
GUGAAUCAUCGAAUCUUUGAACGCAAAUUGCGCUCCCUGGUAUUCCGGAGAGUAUGCCUGAUUGAGGGUCAGGUAAAAUAAAAAUCGGAGUGGUUGCUGCAUUUCGUGGUGACGCAGCGGAGUUGGGUCGCCGUGGAUUAGGUGAAGUGACCUAAAAUUAUGAAUGAUUUUUUUCGAACGUAUUUGAAUGAUUUUACGUACGUAUGCGAUAGCGAAUACUAGGUGUGGUCAGCCUCAUGAUUAGAGUA